UAGUCAAUAAUGUAAUGCAAUAAUUAUAUGCUAAUAAUAGUAAUAUUUACUUAAGUAGAGUUAUUAUGCUAUCUGAAAUAUAGAGGACCUGACAUUUUCGAUUUUUUAGCCCUUAAAUCAACUUCUUUGAUAAUUUCUAAUUUUUAGAAUAAUAUUAUUAUCCUAUGGGGAUCAUUCAAUUCUAGAGAAGGCCGCAAUCAUCCUAAUUGUAUAAUUUUUUUAUCUAAAGGUUAAAAAGUCAAAAAUAAUAAAUCAUAUAUGCUUCCGAUAGCUUAGUAGCUCUACACAUAUUUACUUUGUUAAUUAACAAAUCACAAGACAAAUUUAGUCU
Molecule: long non-coding RNA, 331 nt
Filed under: Ananas comosus (pineapple)
Lineage: Eukaryota; Viridiplantae; Streptophyta; Magnoliopsida; Poales; Bromeliaceae
Description: long non-coding RNA (ACOM_LNC004468)
Source: RNAcentral